GUAAUGCCUAGGAAUCUGCCUGGUAGUGGGGGAUAACGCUCGGAAACGGACGCUAAUACCGCAUACGUCCUACGGGAGAAAGCAGGGGACCUUCGGGCCUUGCGCUAUCAGAUGAGCCUAGGUCGGAUUAGCUAGUUGGUGAGGUAAUGGCUCACCAAGGCGACGAUCCGUAACUGGUCUGAGAGGAUGAUCAGUCACACUGGAACUGAGACACGGUCCAGACUCCUACGGGAGGCAGCAGUGGGGAAUAUUGGACAAUGGGCGAAAGCCUGAUCCAGCCAUGCCGCGUGUGUGAAGAAGGUCUUCGGAUUGUAAAGCACUUUAAGUUGGGAGGAAGGGCAGUAAAUUAAUACUUUGCUGUUUUGACGUUACCGACAGAAUAAGCACCGGCUAACUCUGUGCCAGCAGCCGCGGUAAUACAGAGGGUGCAAGCGUUAAUCGGAAUUACUGGGCGUAAAGCGCGCGUAGGUGGUUCGUUAAGUUGGAUGUGAAAUCCCCGGGCUCAACCUGGGAACUGCAUUCAAAACUGUCGAGCUAGAGUAUGGUAGAGGGUGGUGGAAUUUCCUGUGUAGCGGUGAAAUGCGUAGAUAUAGGAAGGAACACCAGUGGCGAAGG
Molecule: ribosomal RNA, 615 nt
Filed under: Pseudomonas sp.
Lineage: Bacteria; Pseudomonadati; Pseudomonadota; Gammaproteobacteria; Pseudomonadales; Pseudomonadaceae
Description: bacterial SSU rRNA
Rfam family: Bacterial small subunit ribosomal RNA
Source: RNAcentral